AGGCAGCAUCCAUCACACAGCACAGCUCUGCUCAGAGUGACCUGGUGGAGGGAUGGAGUUGGAAUAAUACAGGAGAGGAACAAGAAUUCCAGGUCUGGAGAGCUCAGAGUGACUGGUGGAGGUGUGGAUUUGGAAUAAUAUUCCAGCUCUGGAGAGCAGGAGCUUCCCCUUGCCUGGGAGUUUCUGCUGCAUCUGAACACUGAAUUGGGAAAUAAAAUAAACCCUGCUUUUGGAUGCCUGUGGCUCUGUUAAAAUCAGUCUGGAGCUCUCUUGUUUCCCUGCAGACACCAGAAAGUCACCUGGAACGGGGACUCAGCUGCUCUGAUAUGUCAUCACUUAUUCCAAGAAAUGUUCCCUGGCGUGGACUUGCAGGAAUAAAGCCCAGAGGUUGAUUCCAUCGUUUAUAUUGAUUUAUUACACCUGUCUAAAACAAUUUCAAGAGGAAAUUUUUACUUUUUUUUUUCUCUGGGAAGCUCUGAAGUCCCAACCGUGCCCUGGCAGGGCUACAGGAAGCCUCUUGAUCAUCCAGAAAAUAUUCCCUGGCAAUUCUGAAACCCCCCAAAAAAGGGAGAGACCAACACACUUUUUUUUGUCCAUGGACCCGUGCCUGAGAUGAAUUUUGAUGCAAAUGUGUUCAUCUGAAAGUCAUAAAGCAGCUUGAAGAAGGGUUUAGUUUGGAUUUUCCUCCCCUGGAAACCACAAGCAGCUGGAGCUACUUGUUAGUGUUCAUUCAGGCUAAGAGCACUCCCAUUCUCAUCUGUGAGUUUUAUUUAUUUCCCCAGGCUGGGAGAAAAGAUCCCUCAGAUGUGAUCACAGAGGGGAUAAAUCAUCUCAGUGAUUUAAUUACGGCUGGCAAAAUUCAACCCCCGCAUUUUCAACACUCGAAAGUUCAUUUUUUUUUUGCAGCCUGAAACUUCCAUAAAUAAAAGUGGGACAUGUCUUGGAAUAUAAAUUUGGAAUA
Sturnus vulgaris (Common starling) is the source of this 961-nucleotide non-coding RNA. Lineage: Eukaryota; Metazoa; Chordata; Aves; Passeriformes; Sturnidae. The record is from RefSeq and is a predicted model, not a curated record.